This 977-nucleotide long non-coding RNA is filed under the name Phascolarctos cinereus (koala). Its description in RNAcentral is "lncRNA (ENSPCIG00000027675.2)". The record is from RNAcentral. Lineage: Eukaryota; Metazoa; Chordata; Mammalia; Diprotodontia; Phascolarctidae.
AGAUAUGAAAUAUUGUUGUGGUUAGUAGGAGAGGAGAAAAAGAAGGUAUUUUAGUAAUGAUUUUCCUAAUGGAAAAGUAGAGGCAAUACUCCAGUCAUCACUCAGGGUCGUAGAUUUAGAGGUAGAAGGGACAUCCAGUCCAAAACCACUCCCUCCUCCUUUUUUUUUUUUAACAGAUGAGGAAACUUAGGUUCCAAGAGAUUAAGUGAAUUUCCUGAGGUCACCCAGGUCGUAAAUGACAGAGCAAGAAUUGAAUCUAAAUCCUCUGCUUCCCAAUGCAGUCCUCUUUUCCCUGCAUCCCUCUGUCUCUGCUCCAGAUUUUUGCCAUUCAGGACAUUAACUCAGAUUGUUUCCAUAUGCAGUGCUUUCUCUGCAGUUGCUCAUGUUCCAUUCAAAAAAGGAGGUCACCUUGGAAAAAGAGAAGCUUUUUGAAUACAGCCCUAAGGACAGUCGAGGAGUUGGCCAAGGAGCUCUAUGGAGACACAGGAAGAAGAUUUUUCAAGAACCAGCGGGAGGAACUGGGCCACACUGAAAAAUAUUCAUUGGUCUCCCCAAACUCAGGAAGUCCAGAAGUACCCUGGUUGCUCUGAAGCCAUUAAGGGGCGGCUCACUGCUCCUGCCUCUGCUUUUAAUUCUGGUUCCAGUUCCAGCCUUCUGACUUUCUUGCCUGGGUUGACAACAUCUGUCUACACCUUUUGGAACACAAGCAAGUCCCACUCUCCCCGAAGUCCUGGAUGUCAUGAUUUGCUAACUCCUCACUUCCUGCCUCCAAGGGGGUGGAACAGGGCACACAGUACUUGUAUUGUGAAGUAUAAUCAUUUCUUUGUUUAACUGAUUUGAUUUUAAAUAUCGUCAUUAUAUUACUGGAUUAUUGACAAUAGAAAUAUAAACUGAUCUUCAGUGAAUGGCUGUUGAUUUUUUCUGCUUAAGUUGUGACAUAUCAACAUCUAAUAAAAAACUUACAAUGAUAAUGGCCA